RNAcentral lists this transfer RNA (70 nucleotides) under Iphiteon panicea. Its description in RNAcentral is "tRNA-Asp". Lineage: Eukaryota; Metazoa; Porifera; Hexactinellida; Hexactinosida; Dactylocalycidae. The record is from RNAcentral.
AGAGUUAUACUUUAACACAAAAAGGACAGGCUGUCACCUAUGUCAAUAGAAGCUGUUCUUCUUGACUCUC